This is a long non-coding RNA of Zingiber officinale, 235 nucleotides long. RefSeq lists it as uncharacterized. Lineage: Eukaryota; Viridiplantae; Streptophyta; Magnoliopsida; Zingiberales; Zingiberaceae. The record is from RefSeq and is a predicted model, not a curated record. The transcript has 2 exons.
GAUAAAGGAAAAGCUCAGGUAUGAAAGAAAGGCGACAAGGUGGUGAUGGUGAAGGUGUGUGAUGGCUGAACUAUGGAAGACUUGGGACAUUGUUGAGACUCAUUUAGAUUCUUUUAUCUGCUAGGAAAAUAAAGGAGUGUACAUGUUAUUUUGUUACUGCUAGAUUGGAGUUAUUUUGCAUUGUUAAUGGUUAAUUUAGAUUGGUAUUCUAAAAGUGUUGGAGCAGUUGGUUAGA